UACGUAGGUGACCAGCGUUGUCCGGAUUUACUGGGCGUAAAGAGCGCGCAGGCGGUCGUUCAAGUCGAGUGUGAAAGCCCCCGGCUCAACUGGGGAGGGUCAUUCGAUACUGAUCGACUUGAAGGCAGGAGAGGGAAGCGGAAUUCCCGGUGUAGUGGUGAAAUGCGUAGAUAUCAGGAGGAACACCGGUGGCGAAGGCGGGUCUCUGGGCCGAUAUUGACACUGAGAAACGAAAGCCAGGGGAGCAAACGGG
This 253-nucleotide ribosomal RNA is filed under the name uncultured bacterium. RNAcentral's name for it is "partial 16S ribosomal RNA". It matches the Rfam family "Bacterial small subunit ribosomal RNA", at positions 524 to 776 of the family's 1533-position model. The record is from RNAcentral.